Molecule: long non-coding RNA, 1704 nt
Filed under: Homo sapiens (human)
Lineage: Eukaryota; Metazoa; Chordata; Mammalia; Primates; Hominidae
Description: HSALNT0053703
Source: RNAcentral
AGCAUUUUAUCAUUUUCAGAACACUUAUCUAACAGAAACAGUACCACAAAUAGGGAAAUAAGAACAAAACAAACUUCUGAGAAAAAGAUGAGUAGAUUUUCUUCAACAGUGCUCAGCCCACACACGCCCCACUGCAGUCCCAGGAAUAGGACUGGCCUGCAGUUUGAGGCAAGCCUGUCUUCUGUACAAAUACCAAAUACCAGAACCUGCUAAUCCCUAAUGGAGUGAAGACAGCUACGUGGGUGUGAUAAUGCCAGGAAAACCUGGGCAACUCCUGCAACUCUGAGGUCAGCUAGGCCUCUCUGGCCCUACCAGAUCCAGCUAAGAGGACUGCAGACCCAUAAGGCCACAGUGAAGUUCAAGUUCCAUACCCUCCAAAGAUUUCUGCAAAUUCCCAGCCCUUAGCCUCCUCCUAGUCCCCUCUGCCCUGGGAAUCCAGAGUGGUGUCCCCUUUACCCACUCAGCUGCCCAGAUGUAAACUAUCAACCCUUUCACUGAUUUGCACAGAAAAAUCCACUCUACCCAGGCACAGCUCUUCCCUGACAUAGCAUUCUCAAUUUACCUCCCACAGAAAGGGCAGAAGGCAAAGGGGUGUUUUGCAAAAAAGGCCUCUGCCAUUUAUUUCAGUUGGGAACAUUUAAUCCAUUCCAGUACUCCAAAAGACAGUCCAAUUUUUCACAUAAAUAAAAUCCUUAUAAGAAAAAUCUCUAGUUAUAUAUGAGGUGAAAAGUACAGAUUUCUUAUUUUAAACACCAGUCAGUUAUUUCAGUAACCGAAGCAGCACCAAAAACAUUCUGAAUCAAAGUUUCUCAUGCACUGUGAGUUUCUCCAGCAAAGUCCAGCAUUCAGGCACCUUCUCUUUAAAGGCAAAACACAGCAAAGGAACAAAAACAAAAAAACAACCACCACCAAAGAUGCUAUUAUGGGGCCUCUCCUGAGUGUAGAAGUGAAAGACGAAGUUCCGUGAAUCACAAUGGCCAACUUUUGUAACUUGCCUGUCAGGGUUUGCUGAGAAAAACCAAGAGGGCAAGAUAUAGGAAUGGGAAGAACAGCUUCCCCACAAUGGCUGGCACUUACCUGGGCCAGGCAUGGUGCUCAGCCUUGUUUUAAAAUUUAAUUCUAUUUCUAUCAAACUUAAUACAUACACGUUUUAAAAAGUCAAAUACUACUAUAAGGCUAGUAAAAAAAUGUAGUGUUCCCCUCCCCAUACCUUCCCCACCCCAAGUCCCAAUUCAGCAAAUACUUUUCAUAUUUACCUCCACUUUUCUGAGUAAAAGACAUACUAUUGAAUCCUGACUUUUCCAUUUUAGACAUAAUCUCCUGCCUUCCUGCUAUGGUUGCUGAGGGUUUUAGAAAGGAUACCUUUACCUCAUCUACUUUCCCUUCUACAUCCUCCCCAUGUAAUCAUGUCACAGGUUUUGUUAAAUCAUUAUUCAAUGAACAUGUUAUUCUCAUUAAGUAAACAUUGUUCAAGCUGCUCCAGAAAAGUGUUGCAUUUUCUUUUGCAUAUGACUUUUUGUUUUCCCUGGAAUUAAUUAUUGACUUUGCUUCCACUUGCAUAAUUUAUGUAGCCAUCACUAAUUCUCCCUACAAACUCUGCAGAAGAGAUGUAAAAUUCCCCUGGGUAUAUUGAAACAUAUCCAUCCCAUCUGUACCUUGGAGAUGUCCUUCCAGAAGCUGUCCUUCCUCCUGUUCCAAUCUGAG